CGCCAGACUCCUACGGGAGGCAGCAGUGAGGAAUAUUGGUCAAUGGUCGGGAGACUGAACCAGCCAAGCCGCGUGAGGGAUGAAGGUACAGAGUAUCGUAAACCUCUUUUGUCAGGGAACAAAGGCGGGGACGCGUCCCCGGAUGAGUGUACCUGAAGAAAAAGCAUCGGCUAACUCCGUGCCAGCAGCCGCGGUAAUACGGAGGAUGCGAGCGUUAUCCGGAUUUAUUGGGUUUAAAGGGUGCGUAGGCGGAGUGUCAAGUCAGCGGUAAAAUUUCGGGGCUCAACCCCGUCGUGCCGUUGAAACUGACGCCCUUGAGUGAGUGAGAAGUAAGCGGAAUGCGUGGUGUAGCGGUGAAAUGCAUAGAUAUCGCGCAGAACCCCGAUUGCGAAGGCAGCGUACCGGCUCCACACUGACGCUGAGGCACGAAAGCGUGGGUAUCGAACAGGAUUAGAUACCCCGGUAGC
RNAcentral lists this ribosomal RNA (467 nucleotides) under uncultured bacterium. Its description in RNAcentral is "bacterial SSU rRNA". It matches the Rfam family "Bacterial small subunit ribosomal RNA", at positions 329 to 794 of the family's 1533-position model. The record is from RNAcentral.